This 216-nucleotide ribosomal RNA is filed under the name Triticum aestivum (bread wheat). RNAcentral describes it as "partial small subunit ribosomal RNA". The record is from RNAcentral. Lineage: Eukaryota; Viridiplantae; Streptophyta; Magnoliopsida; Poales; Poaceae.
AUGAAUGCUCUCUGUUGGAACUGCCGUGGAGCGGGUAAACCUGCGGCAGUUCGAGAGCUUCGCGAUUUUGCGAGGAAGUUUACCCCUACCCUCCUAUGUAUUGUUGAGACACAAAUAGAAGGAGGCAGGGUAGAAGCUCUAGCUAGCUCGAUAGGCUAUGAUGAUAACGCAUAUGCAGUUGACAGUCAAGGUCGUAGUGGUGGUAUUGGACUUUUC